RNAcentral lists this ribosomal RNA (450 nucleotides) under uncultured bacterium. RNAcentral's name for it is "partial 16S ribosomal RNA". It matches the Rfam family "Bacterial small subunit ribosomal RNA", at positions 338 to 795 of the family's 1533-position model. The record is from RNAcentral.
CCUACGGGAGGCUGCAGUGGGGAAUAUUGGACAAUGGGCGCAAGCCUGAUCCAGCAAUGCCGCGUGUGUGAAGAAGGCCUGCGGGUUGUAAAGCACUUUAAGCAGGAAAGAAGGGGUGAAAGUUAAUACCUUUCAUCAUUGACGUUACCUGCAGAAUAAGCACCGGCUAACUCCGUGCCAGCAGCCGCGGUAAUACGGAGGGUACUAGCGUGGCGCGGAAUUACUGGGGGCGAUGUGAUCAGAGGCGCGUGAAAGCCCUGGGCUUAACCUGGGAACUGCGGUGGAUACUGUCGGGCUAGAGUGUGGUAGAGGGGAGUGGAAUUUCCGGUGUAGCAGUGAAAUGCGUAGAGAUCGGAAGGAACACCAGUGGCGAAGGCGGCUCCCUGGACUAACACUGACGCUGAGGUGCGAAAGCGUGGGGAGCAAACAGGAUUAGAUACCCGAGUAGUC